UGGGGCCUGGGGUGGGGGAGCUUGGGUUCCUUUCUCCUGUGCUCUGGUAACAAUGAGAUGGGAAUCUCACAAUCUGCUGGCAUCUGAUUACAGAAAACUAACCCAGAUGGCAUCUCUCCACCAGGUCACAACUCACCAGAGGCCAACCCCAUCAGAAACACACACACUGGCCAGGUCCGAGGCAGGCUCGUCCAAGUGAAGGACACUAAAUCUGGUGUCCACGCCUUCCUGGGAAUCCCCUUUGCCAAGCCUCCUGUAGGACCACUGCGCUUUGCACCUCCUGAGGCCCCUGAACCAUGGAGUGGUGUGAGAGAUGGAACUGCACAUCCGGCCAUGUGUCUGCAAAAUCUUGAACUACUGUAUCCAGAGGGCCUGAAGGAGAUGAAACUGAACCUGUUUCCCUUCUCUAUGUCCGAGGACUGCCU
Molecule: long non-coding RNA, 425 nt
Filed under: Mus musculus (house mouse)
Lineage: Eukaryota; Metazoa; Chordata; Mammalia; Rodentia; Muridae
Description: predicted gene, 63326
Source: RNAcentral